AUGAUUCUCGACAACAGAUAUCUUAGCUCUUGCAUCGAUGAAAAACGUAGUGAAAUGCGAUACUUGGUGUGAAUUGCAGAAUCCCAUGAACCAUUGAGUCUUUGAACGCAAGUUGCGCCUGAAGCCAUUAGGCGAAGGGCACACCUGCCUGGGUGUCAUGCACCGUCGCCCCCCCUCCAACCCCCUACCCGUCGAGCUCCGGGGGAAGGGGACGAGCGGAAGAUGGCCUCUCAUGAUCCCAUCGAUCGCGGUUGGCCCAAAAGUGAGUCCUCGACAAUGACAGUACCGUGAUCAUCGGUGGUAGAGCUCCCGACGUGCCUCGUCCCCGAUGACGCAUGCUCGUUGUCCAUCCGGACCCCGUCGGACCCCCCGCAUCGCUCGAUCAAUGCUCACAUCGUGACCCCAGGUCAGGUGGGAUCACCCGCUGAGUUUAGGCAUAUCAAUAAGCAGAGGAAAAGAAACUUACCAGAAUUCCCUUAGUAACGGUGAACGAACCGAGAAGAGCCCAGCUUGAGAAUCAGGCACCCUCGAUGUUCGAAUUAUAGUCUGGAGAAGCAUCCUCAACGAUGGAUCGAGCCCAAAUCCCUUGGAAAGGGGCAUCGAAGAGGGUGUGAGCGCCGUUGUGCUCGGACCCUGUCGCAUCAGGAGGCGCUAUCCGUGAGUCGAGUUGUUUGGGAAUGCAGCCCCAAUCGGGCGGUAAAUUCCAUCCACGGCUGAAUACGGGUGAUAGACCGAUAACGAACAAGUACCACGAGGGAAAGAUGAAAAGGACUUUGAAAAGAGAGUCAAAGAGUGCUUGAAAUUAUUGAGAGGGAAGCGGAUGGGGGCUGGCGAUGCGCCCUGAUCGGAUGUGGAAGAAUGAGAGUCGAUCGAUCGAUCGACUUGGGGCGUGGACAGACGCGAGUCACGACGAUGGCCCAAGCUCGGGCUUUCGAUGUGCCCACGGAGACAUCAUCACCUUGAUCGUGGAAUGCAGCACGCACAAUCUCGGCGUGCCUCGACACCCGUGCUCCCAGCGUCGGUCGCGAGCUCCCCAUUCGGCCCGUCUUGAAUCAUGACCAAAGAGUCUGACAUUCGUGCAAGUCAACAGGCAAGGAAACCCGUAAGGUGCAAGAAAGCUGAUUGGCGGGAUCCUUUAUGGGUGCACCGUCGAUCGACUUUAAUCUUUUGAAAAGGGUUUGAGUGCGAGCAUGCCCGUCGAGACCCGAAAGAUGGUGAACUAUGCUUGAGCGGGGCGAAGCCAGAGGAAACUCUGAUAGAGGCCUGCAGUGAUACUGACAUGCAAAUCAUUCGUCUAACUUGGGUAUAGGGGUAAAAGACUAAUCGAACCAUCUAGUAGCUGGUUCCCUUCGAAGUUUCCCUCAGGAUAGCUGAAGCCCCCAUCGAGUUCUAUCAGGUAAAGCCAAUGAUUAGAGGCAUCGGGGGCGCAACACCCUCGACCUAUUCUCAAACUUUAAAUAGGUAGGACGGCACGGCUACUUCGUUGAGCAACACCACGAAAUCGAGAGCUCCAAGUGGACCAUUUUUGGCAAGCAAAACUGACGAUGCAGGAUAAAUCAGAAGCUGGGUUACGAUGCCCAACUGCGCGCUAACCUAGAACCCAUAAAGGGUGUUGGUCGAUUAAGACAAUAGGACGGUGGUGAUGGAAGUCAAAAUUCGCCAAAGAGUGUGUAACAACUCACCUAUCGAAUCAACUAGCCCCAAAAAUGGAUGGCACUUAAGCGCGUGACCUAUACCCAAUCGUCGAGGUAAGGGCCAGGCCUCGAUUAGUAGGAGGGCAUGACGAUCAUUGUAAAACCCAGGGCACGAGCCCGGGUGGAGCGACCGUCGAUGCAGAUCUUGGUGGUAGUAACAAAUAUUCAAAUUAGAACUUUGAAGUCUGAAAAGGGGAAAAGUUCCAUGUGAAUGGCAGUUGCACAUGGGUUAGUCGAUCCUAAGAGACGAGGGAAGCCCAUUCGACAGUGCGUCCCACGUGAGCUUCGAAAGGGAUUCGGGUUAAAAUUCUUGAACUAAGACGCGACGGCUGAAGGCAACGUUAGGGAGUCCGAAAAUGUCAAUGAGGGCCUUGAAAAGAGUUAUCUUUUUUGUUUAACGGCCAGCCCACCCUAGAAAUGACUCAGUCAGAGUAGGGUCCAGUGGCCGGAAGAGCACCGCACAUCACAUGGUGUCCGGUGCACCCCCGGUGACCCUUGAAAAUCCAGAGGAUCGAGUAUCUUCCAUGCUCGAUCAUACUCAUAAUCGCAUCAGGUCUCCAAGGUGAACAACCUUUGGUCGAUGGAACAAUGUAGGUAAGGGAAGUCGAUAAAAUGGAUCCGUAACCUCAGGAAAAGGAUUGGCUCUGAGGGCUGGGCACAGGGGUCCCAGUCUCGAAAUCGUCAACUACCGGUGCACUACUCGAGCUACUCCCACGGUGAGAGCGAGUCGUCACGUGUCGACAGAAGGAUGGACUGGGAGCGGCUCCCUCGGGGGCCUUCCCUGGGCAUCAAACAGUCCUCUCAGAAAUGGUACGGACAAGGGUAAUCUGAAUGUUUAAUUAGAAAAAAGCAAGCGCGGGUGAAAAAAUUCAACCAAUGUGAUUUCUGCCCAGUGCUCUGAAUGUCAAAGUGAAGAAAUUCAACCAAGCGCGGGUAAACGGUGGGAUUAACUAUGACUCUCUUAAGGUAGCCAAAUGCCUCAUCAUCUAAUUAGUGACAUGCAUGAAUGGAUUAAUGAGAUUCCCACUGUCGAUCUUUUAGACCUUUUGAAUUUGAAGCUAGAGGUGUCAGAAAAGUUACCACAGGGAUAACUGGCUUGUGGCAGCCAAGCGUUCAUAGUUACGUUGCUUUUUUAUCCUUCGAUGUUGGCUCUUCCUAUCAUUGUGAAGCAAAAUUCACCAAGUGUUGGAUUGUUCACCCACCAAUAGGGAACAUGAGCUGGGUUUAGACCCUCGUGAGAUAGGUUAGUUUUACCCUACUGAUGGUGGCGUCGCGACAGUAAUUUAACCUAGUACGAGAGAAACCAUUGAUUCGCACAAUUGGUCAUCACGCUUGGUUGAAAAGUCAUCAGCUCGCGUUGACUACGUCCCUGCCCUUUAUACACACUGCCGUCGCUCCUACCGAUUGAAUGAUCCAAUGAAGUGUUCAAAUUAUGAUGACGUGGACGGUUCACUGCCCGCGACGUCACGAGAAGUCCACUGAACCUUAUAUUUAGAGGAAGGAGAAGU
Molecule: ribosomal RNA, 3202 nt
Filed under: Durio zibethinus
Lineage: Eukaryota; Viridiplantae; Streptophyta; Magnoliopsida; Malvales; Malvaceae
Description: eukaryotic LSU rRNA
Rfam family: Eukaryotic large subunit ribosomal RNA (bases 398-3202)
Source: RNAcentral